Long non-coding RNA from Planococcus citri (citrus mealybug), 5295 nucleotides. RefSeq lists it as uncharacterized. NCBI's taxonomy places the organism in Eukaryota, Metazoa, Arthropoda, Insecta, Hemiptera, Pseudococcidae. The record is from RefSeq and is a predicted model, not a curated record. The transcript is spliced from 7 exons.
AGAACCCCUGGCUCAGCUCUAUGAACAGCUGUGGGCUCAAAAUUUUCCAGGGUAGUCUCCCACUCAACGUUAACUUCCCUACCAAUUGUCGUCAAAAUUCAAGGUAUAUUUUUUUUCGAUCCGCCUAAGUAGGUGGGUACCACCUACUAAAAGAUGAACUAUCGAUGGUAACUUCAAUCGAGUGUAAUAAAAUCUCUCGAAAUAAUCAGCAACUUGAUAAAAAUAAUCCAUACAUACAAUUUAGACGAGCACAUGCUUGUAUUCUGAUUUCAAUUCGAAAAUAAGGCAGUUGAAAGCAUCCUAUUUUUCUCAGUGAAUUUUCACAGUAACACAGCAAAAUCAUCAUGGAAAAAUCAGCAAUAAUCACGCAUGCCAAAACCUCGACCAAACUGCAUAAAACUGCUCGAAAUUCAAAUUCAAAAGAAAAAAAAGGAAAAUCGAAUGUUGUACGUUAACAUAUCCAAAAAUUAAUAACUCUGACUAAAAAAAAAUCAUGAUCUUGAAAGUUUUUAAUCUUUCGAUCGCUACGUGGUACAUUGUGUUCUUCAUAGUCGCGUUCGCGUUAUAGUUUACCAUAGUAUCAUAGGUAUAACAAUAGUAUUAUGGAUAAAACGGCCAUAGAGAGUACUCUGUCGAUCCCUUGGAGGCCUAACAACACUAAUCCCAUAGCUACUACAUAAAAAUUCAAUAGGUAUUCGCAACAGCAUCAAUAGGUAUCAAUAAAAAAAUAAUAAAAAAUGUGGUCUGAAAGAGUUACAUUGUAAAAUAAAUUGAAUUGAAUACAUUUUUUUUUUUCAAGUAUAAUGUUAUCGAUUGAUUACAAUUUACAAAACCAUGAAAUCAUGAAAUAGUAACACAUACAAAAUUCAAAUAAUCAUUCGAGUUUUUUUAAUGCCGAGUUAUAAAAAUCUAUCAAACAAUCAUUCAAAAUCUUUAGAAAAUUUCUGGAGGACAUUUUCGUCUAUAGGUAAAAAUUAGAAAUUUUCAAUUUGAGAUAAAAUGAACGAAAAAUGUUGAAAAUUGUUUUGCACUCUAUUUUCAACCUCUUGAGUCGAUUUGUGACGAUUUUCAGCUUUUCUGGCGCCUCCUGCAAAUUAUUGGAUUUUCCUGCAAAAUUGGAAAAUUUUUUUCGAUGUUUUUUUUUUUUUACAAAAUUGUUGUUAAAUCAAAUCAGGGAAAUUCAUUAACUCAAAUCGCAACUUCUGUGGGGGGGGGGGUUAUUGAGGGAUUGCACAUGUUAUAGUAUCCCAAAAGUAAUAAAAAACCACUGGUUUUUCGAAAAUGAAUCCACUUUGAGAAUCCCUGGCUCAUCCCUCUGAGCAGCUGGAGGGCUAAAAACUGUUCUGGGUACGUACAGUCUUUCACUCAACGUAAACUUUUCUACCAAUUUUCGUCAAAAUUCAAAAUAUAUUUUUUUCCAAUCGGCCUUAGUAGAUACGUAGGUAGGUACGUCUACGUACCACCUACUAAAAGAUGAAUUAUCGAUGAAAACUUCAAUCAAGCGUAAUUAAAUCUCUCGAAUUAAUCAGCAACUCGAUAAAAUAAAUCAUGAGUACAAUUUUGUCGAGCACAUUAAGGCAGUUGAAAGCAAUAAAGCAUCCUGUUUUCCUCAAGUGAAUUUUCUCUGUAACACAGCAAAAUCAUCAUGAAAAUAAUUACAAGAUUAAUUCAGUUCGGUCUCUGGUACAUGUUGAUGGUCGCAGUCACGGCCAUAGCAUAGGUAACAAUAGUGUUAUGGAUAAAAUAGCCAUGGAGAGUACUCUGUCCCUUGGAAGCCUAAUACAAAACUAAUCCCACACUACAUAAAAAUUCAAAAUUCGCAUCAGCAUCUGUAUCAAUAAAAAAAUGAUCAAAUAUAUGGGCUAAGACAAGUUAGUAUGUAAAAUGAAUUAGAUUCAAUUCUUCUUCUUUUUUUUAAAGCAACUUUGCUGAAGUAAAAUAUCAUUAAGUAAUUGAUUAUGAAACCAUGAAAUGGAAAUACACAAUUCAAAUAAUCAUUCGAGUGGUUUAAAUGUUAUAAAAUGCUACAGCAUGGAUUAAAUAUGUGAAAACGAUGGACUCAUUAAUUUUUUUUUUGAUGGUGUUUACAAUCGUUUAAAAAAAAAAAGAUUCCACUUCGGUGACCCUUGCUCAGCUCUCUGGACAGCCAGGGGGCUCAACAUUUUUCUGGGCAGUUUUCCACUCAACAUUGAAUUUUUCGUAUUUAGAAAAAUUAGUCUUAUGAGCUUGAAACAUCUAAAUCAAAAAUGGGGGGGGGGGAAGUAGUUUACUCAAAAAAGUGCGCAGAAUCUGAAAAUGACAUAGUUUUUUUUUUUUCGCAAAACAAUACGGAUGUCGCUACGAACCCUUGAAGUAGGGCAAAAACGGCCAUUUUCGCAACUUUGACAGUCCUUCCUGACCACAAAAACAACUCAAAAUUAAAAACGUCACUCUGUUUUUUGUUUUAGGGUCUAAACUAUCGACUAAGCCUAUUUUAAACCCAAGUACAAAAAAAAGUCAAAAAAAUUAUCUAGUGUUAUCGAUGAAAACUUCAAUCGAGCAUAAGAAAAUCUCUCGAAUUAAUCAGCAACUCGAUAAAAUAACCCACGAACGGAUACAAUUUUGUCGAUCACAUGAUUUUUUAAUUUCAAUUCGAAAAUAACGCAGUUGAAAGCAUCCUGUUUUCCUCAGUGAAUUUUUCUCAUUAGGUAGCACAGCAAAGUCGUCAUGAGAACUUAUUCGUCAAUAAUCCAGGUUGCUCUCUGGUACUUUGCGGCGUUCGCAGUUGUGUUCUUUUUUUAGUUUACCAUAGUAUCAUAGGUAGGUAACAAUAGUGUUAUGGACAAUACGGCCAUAGAGAGUGGCCUGUCCUUUGAAGGCCUACAAUAUUCGCAACAGCAUUAAUAGUAAAUAAAGAAAUGAUCAAAAAUGUGGCCUAAAAGGAGUUAGUAAAAUAAAUUAAACUGAAUAGAUACCUACAUUUUUUUUUUACCAACUUGCUUAGUACCUACCUAAAUGUUUUUUAAUUCAGUAUAAGUAUAAGUAUGUUAUCGAUUGAUUACAAAACCAUGAUAUAGGCUAGAAAUACGAAGUUCAAAUGAUAAUUUGAGUUUUUUUUAUGUCAUAAGAGUAAAAACCUACCCAACAAUUGUUCAAAAUGUUUAGAAAAUUUCUAGAGAACAUUUUCGUCUAUAGGUACAGUUAAAAAUUAGAAAUUUUUAAUUUGAGAUAAAAUGAACGAAAAAUGUUGAAAAUUGGUUUGCACUCUUAUUUUCAACCUCUUGAGUCAAUUUGUGACGAUUUUCAGCUUUUCUGGCGCCUCCUGCAAAUUAUUGGAUUUUCCUGCAAAAUUGGAAAAUUUUUUUCGAUUUUUUUUUUUACAAAAUUGUUGUUAAAUCAGAUCAGGGAAAUUCAGAAACUCAAAUUGCAACUUUUUUAGGGGGUUAUUGAGGGAUUGCACAGGUUAUAAUAUCCCAAAAGUAGCAUAAAGCCACGGGUUCUUCGAAAAUGACUCCACUUUGAGGACCCCUGGCCUGGCUCAGCCCUCUGAACAGCUGAAAGGCUAAAAAUUGUUCUGGGUAGUCUCUCAUUCAACGUAAUCUUUCUUACCAAUCUUCGUCAAAAUUCAAAAUAUAUUUUUUUCCAAUCGGCCUUAGUAGGUAUGUAGGUAGGUCCCACCAACUAAAAGAUGAGUUAUCGAUGAAAACUUCAAUCGAGCGUAAUAAAAACGCUCGAAUUAAUCAGCAACUCGAUAAAAUAAAUCAUGAGUACAAUUUUGUCGAGCACAUCAAGGCAGUUGAAAGCAUCCUGUUUUCCUUAGUGAAUUUUCUCUGUAACACAGCAAAAUCAUCAUGAAAAUUAUUACAAGAUUAAUCCAGUUCGGUCUCUGGUACAUGUUGAUGGUCGCAGUCUCGGCCAUAGCAUAGCUAACAAUGGUGUUAUGGAUAAAAUGGCCAUAGAGAGUACUCUGUCCCUUGGAAGCCUAACAACACUAAUCUCAUACUUCAUAAAAAUUCAAUAUUCGCAUCAGCAUCAUGUAUCAAUAAAAAAAUGAUCAAAAAUAUGGGCUAAAACAAGUUAGUAUGUAAAAUGAAUUAGAUUCAAUUCUUCCUUUUUUUUUUUUUACCAACUUUGCUGAAGUUCAUGUAUAUGUAAUUAUUUGAUUAUAAAACCAUGAAAUGGAAAUACACAGUUCAAAAAAUCAUUCGAGUGGUUUAAAUGUUAUAGAAGGCUACAGCAUGGAUUAAUAUGCGAAAACGAUGGACUCAUUAAUUCUUUUUGAUGACGUUUGCAAUCGUUUAUUUGAAAAUGAUCCCACUUUGAUGACCCCUUGCUCAGCCCUCUGGACAGCCAGGGGGCUUAAAAUUUUUCUGGGUGGUCUUCCACUCAACAUUGAAUUUUUUGUAUUUAGAAAAAUUAGUCUUAUGAGCUUGAAACUUCAAAAAUCAAAAAUCGGGGGAAGUAGUUUACUCAAAAAAGUACGUAGAAUCCGAAAAUGACCUUGGUUUCUUUCGUAAAACAAUACGCAUAUAUCGCUACGAACUCUUGAAGUAGGGCAAAAACAGCUCCAUUUUCCCAACUUUGACAGUCUCUCCUGACCACAAAAACAACUCAAAAUGAAGAAACUCACUCUGUUUUUUAUUUUAGAAUCCAAACUAUCGAUUACACCAAUUUUCAACCCAAAUACAAAAAAAAAGUCAAAAAAAUUAUUUAGUGUUAUCGAUGAAAACUUCAAUCGAGCGUACUAAAAUCUCUCGAAUUAAUCAGCAACUCGAUAAAAUAACCCACGAACAGAUAUGUACAAUUUUGUUGAUCAAAUGAUUUUUCAAUUUCAAUUCGAAAAUAAGACAAUUGAAAGCAUCCUGUUUUCCUCAGUGAAUUUUCUCAGUAGAUAACACAGAAAAGUCUUCGUCAUGAGAACUUAUUCGUCAAUAAUCCAGGUUGCUCUCUGGUACCUUUCGAUGUUCGUACCCCUGUUGUUUUAUUAGUUUACCAUAGUACCAUAGGUAGGUAGCAAUAGUGUUAUGGACAAAACGGCCAUAGAGAGUGCCCUGUCCUUUGAAGGCUUAACACAAACUCCAUACUUACUGUAUAAGAUUCAAUAUUCGCAACAGCAAUAAUAGUACCUAAAUAAAGAAAUGAUCAAAAAUGUGGCCUAAAAGAAGUUAGUAAAAUAAUUUCAAUUGAAUAGACACCUACAUUUUUUUUACCAACUUGCUUAGUACCUACCUAAAUGUUUUUUAAUUCAGUAUAAGUAUGUUAUCGAUUGAUUACAAAACCAUGAUAUAGGCUAGAAAUACAAAGUUCAAAUGAUCA